This 104-nucleotide non-coding RNA is filed under the name uncultured eukaryote. The record is from RNAcentral.
UUUAGUUUAAUUUUUUCGUUUUUUCAUUUUUGUUAUGUUUAGUUUUUUAAUGCUGUGGGCGCUGGUAGAUGUGUUGCAAAUAAAACUGGGAAUCAAAACCAGAG